UACGGAGGGUGCAAGCGUUGUUCGGAAUUACUGGGCGUAAAGCGCGUGUAGGCGGAUUCGGUAGUCGGGUGUGAAAGCCCUGGGCUCAACCCAGGAAGUGCGCCCGAAACCACGAGUCUUGAGAUCCGGAGAGGAUCGGGGAAUUCCUGGUGUAGAGGUGAAAUUCGUAGAUAUCAGGAAGAACACCGGUGGCGAAGGCGCCGAUCUGGACGGAUUCUGACGCUGAGACGCGAAAGCGUGGGGAGCAAACAGGAUUAGAUACCCCCGUA
RNAcentral lists this ribosomal RNA (269 nucleotides) under uncultured prokaryote. RNAcentral's name for it is "partial 16S ribosomal RNA". It matches the Rfam family "Bacterial small subunit ribosomal RNA", at positions 524 to 792 of the family's 1533-position model. The record is from RNAcentral.